Molecule: transfer RNA, 77 nt
Filed under: Erysipelotrichaceae bacterium
Lineage: Bacteria; Bacillati; Bacillota; Erysipelotrichia; Erysipelotrichales; Erysipelotrichaceae
Also listed under: 1 other name
Description: tRNA-Pro
Rfam family: tRNA
About the family: Transfer RNA (tRNA) molecules are approximately 80 nucleotides in length.
Source: RNAcentral
CGGGAUGUAGCACAGCUUGGUAGUGCAUCUGCUUUGGGAGCAGAGGGUCACAGGUUCGAAUCCUGCCAUCCCGACCA